GGAGGGAACAACACAGUUGCUAUGCCUGACUAGGGCAUGACCUGGGAGGCCUUUGGGGCCACACAGCCUCCUUGGGAAAGGAGGAUCAGGUGGGCCUCACACCCAGGAAUUGGAAGUGGGAGAGACAACAGCUGCUGGGUAGUGGGGGUAGAGCUGUGUCUCUCACUGCCCUGCCCCUCCAAGGACCAAGAAGAAAGGAAUGAGCCCCGAUCCGCCUGCCAGGUACCCACCCAUGAGAACCCCUUCUCUGCCAGCAUCUGAUAAAAUUACCUGCGUAGCUUUAGAGAUCACUGCUGCCUGACCAGCAGCCGCUCUGCUGGAAUCUGUCCAGAAAGCCCCUUGGGGCUCAGAAAAGUAGUAGAGAUGGGGUUCCAUCCAUCCAUUCCAGAAGCAUUUGGCAAGCACAUCCUGGGUGCCAGGCCCAAGCAGGCUGGUCUCAAACUCCUGACCUCAAGUGAUCCGCCCACCUCGGCCUCCCAAAGUGCCGGGAUGACAGCUGUGAGCCACCGCGCCCCGCCCAGAAGCAGAGGUGUUUUAACGGGAAGACUUCAGGCUUCAUCGGACGGCCGGGAAGGAAUCAGAGCAGGGGUUUCUUCCGAGAUGGCCAGUGGUCACCUGAGAUGGAGCAGAGAGCACCUGUGGCGGGCAUCUUCUCUAGAAGCCGCCUGUGAGCCCUACGGAGGCCCUGGGCUUCGUGCCGUAAGACAGACGGUGUCCUGCAGGCCUCCCAUGGAGACACCAUGUGUGAUUGUAAAAAA
RNAcentral lists this long non-coding RNA (758 nucleotides) under Homo sapiens (human). RNAcentral's name for it is "lncAB609.1". The record is from RNAcentral. Lineage: Eukaryota; Metazoa; Chordata; Mammalia; Primates; Hominidae.